GAUGAACGCUGGCGGUAUGCUUAACACAUGCAAGUCGAACCGACUCUUCGGAGUUAGUGGCGGACGGGUGAGUAACGCGUGAGAAUCUGGCUUUGGGUUCGGGACAACCACUGGAAACGGUGGCUAAUACCGGAUGUGCCGAGAGGUAAAAGAGAAAUUGCCUGAAGAUGAGCUCGCGUCUGAUUAGUUAGUUGGUGAGGUAAAGGCUCACCAAGGCAGCGAUCAGUAGCUGGUCUGAGAGGAUGACCAGCCACACUGGGACUGAGACACGGCCCAGACUCCUACGGGAGGCAGCAGUGGGGAAUUUUCCGCAAUGGGCGAAAGCCUGACGGAGCAAUACCGCGUGAGGGAAGAAGGCUCUUGGGUUGUAAACCUCUUUUCUUAGGGAAGAACAAAGUGACGGUACCUAAGGAAUCAGCAUCGGCUAACUCCGUG
This 435-nucleotide ribosomal RNA is filed under the name uncultured bacterium. RNAcentral describes it as "partial 16S ribosomal RNA". It matches the Rfam family "Bacterial small subunit ribosomal RNA", at positions 28 to 507 of the family's 1533-position model. The record is from RNAcentral.